This is a long non-coding RNA of Gekko japonicus, 1636 nucleotides long. RefSeq lists it as uncharacterized. The transcript is spliced from 3 exons. The record is from RefSeq and is a predicted model, not a curated record. Lineage: Eukaryota; Metazoa; Chordata; Lepidosauria; Squamata; Gekkonidae.
CAAAGAAGGGGCCCAACGCCCUCAUGCGCCGCAAUAGCGUCACCCCUCUAGCGAGCCCCGAGCCCACCAAAAAGCCACGCAUCAACAGCUUUGAGGAGCAUGUGGCUGCCGCCGCUUCGGCCGCUCACCCCGUCUGUAUGCCCCAGGAGGCGCCCGCACAGCUGCCCGGACAACCUGUCCUGGGAAAGGCCUGCCUAAGCUGAACGUCUCCCACGAGCGGUCUUGAAUCUCUCCCGGCGAUGUUGGUGAAGCUGGCGAGGGACGGCCGGCUCCAUUCACAUCGCCCGCCGCACCUCCGGUCCUUCUUCGCUCAAGCUUGAGGGUCAACCUUUUGUUGUUGUCUUUGACCCUCUUCCGUAGCUGAUCGUCUUGCUGGACUUGGACUCGGGAACAGAACGGAGGCAGGGGGGAAAAAGACUUUUUUUGGUGGGUGGGGAGGAAGAAAGAAGAACGGUCUCGUUAGAUUAUAAAGGUGGAUCCAACAUCUGAUUUUUAGAGGUCGAAUGCCUUUUUUGUUUUCCUUCAGGGCGUGAUAGACGGCAGCGGGCUUGAAGGGUACUUCGUUUGCACACUGGAUAUUCUACGUAGCAGUGGAAGGGGGAGGCUUACCUGUAAAGCGACGCCGUUGCCUUGAGAUGGAAGGAGACCCCUCCGCUCCUCUUGCAGUGUGUAAAUAAAUGGAGGAUAUUGGAGGUGUGGGAAACACAGUUCGGAAGGCGUGUCAAAGCUAUGCACCGGGACACGGGAGAUAGUUGAUCUCGUCUGUUUGUAUGAACCCCCAUCCUGCCCGACUGUUGUCGGGGAAACAGCGAGGGACCCCCCCCCCUUCCAAAUCUUUUUUAAAAAGUUCUGUAUUGAUUCAAAAACAGUACUAAAUUUGUAUCGCUCUGACUAUUAAAGGGAUGCAUAGAGAAUUGGAUAGCUUUGGUUGGCCUGGGGUUCCGCCCACAGCGAUUUAAUUUUUUUUUUUAGACCUCAGUAACUUGUAACAGAACUUCCGUCAUGCGGUUAAACUGGAGGGAGUGAUAGCAGGUUGUCUGCAUGGGAAUUUGCAUUUUUGGUUGCACGGGGGAUUGGGGACGUAUAGACCCUUAAGGGACACAGCGGAAUGUUCACUUUGUUUGGAAAUCACCUCUCCAUCCACUAACCCGUUUUAUUCCUUAGAGCUCCUCCCAACCCAGGUAGGAUCUAGAGUUAGAAAACCAGUUUUAGACAUACGAUUAAGACUUUUCUGAUCACUCUUUUCAGACUCAGCUACGUGAACCUUUUGCAUGUGUUGAGGCGAGGGAAAUUUUUGGGGGGCUUGUUUACAUAUCUGAGCCAAGGGAGGACUUAUAGUAGCAAACCAUUCUGCAGGUAGUUCCUCCUAAGCCCGGAUCCCGUUCUAGCGCGCAACUGGAAACAUGGGGUUGCUACAGGAGCCGGGCCUCUCCUGUGACUGGUUCACGGCCAGGUGGACAAUAAUCAGAGGAUGGCCGUACUGGGUGAGCUCCUUGUGCGAAUUCACACCGGGUUGACUACUAGCCAGGUGUCUCCCAGUGAAACGCUGGGGAUGUUUGAAGAAGGGAUGCUGCAUAUCGGACAAACUGGAGACAAAUGGCCAGUUUCCGUAUUGCAAAGUCUUUGCAUCCCCACA